RNAcentral lists this ribosomal RNA (1466 nucleotides) under uncultured Bordetella sp. Its description in RNAcentral is "partial 16S-23S ribosomal RNA intergenic spacer". It matches the Rfam family "Bacterial small subunit ribosomal RNA". The record is from RNAcentral. Lineage: Bacteria; Pseudomonadati; Pseudomonadota; Betaproteobacteria; Burkholderiales; Alcaligenaceae.
GGUUCGAUCAUGGCUCAGAUUGAACGCUGGCGGGAUGCUUUACACAUGCAAGUCGAACGGCAGCACGGGACUUCGGUCUGGUGGCGAGUGGCGAACGGGUGAGUAAUGUAUCGGGAACGUGCCUAGUAGCGGGGAUAACUACGCGAAAGGGAAGACCACGUAUACGCCCUUCGGGGGAAAGCGGGGACCUUUCGGGCCUUGCACUAGAGCGGCCGAUAUCGGAUUAGCUAGUAGGUGGGCACGGCUCACCAAGGCGAUGAUCCGUAGCUGGUUUGAGAGGACGACCAGCCACACUGGGACUGGAGGAUAUCGGCCCAGACUCCCACGGGAGGCAGCAGUGGGUCCUUACACAAUGGGGAAACCCUGAUCCAGCCAUCCCGCGUGUGCGAUGAAGGCCUUUCGGGUUGUAAAGCACUUUUGGCAGUGAAAGAAACGGCACGGGAUAAUACCCCGUGCAACUGACGGUACCCGCAGAAUAAGCACCGGCUAACUACGUGCCAGCAGCCGCGGUAAUACGUAGGUGCGUUAAUCGGAAUUACUGAAUGUAAAGCGCGCAGGCGGUUCGAAUAACCAGCGGAAUCCCAGAGCUUAACUUCUUUGGAACUGCAUUUUUAACUACCGAGCUUAGAAAACGAGGGGAGGUGCAGAACGCCAUAGCAGUGAAAUGCGGACAUGCGAGGAACACCGAUGGCGAAGUGCAGCCUCCUCAAGAUAACACUGACACUAUGGUCCAGAAAGCGUGGGGGAGCAAACAGGAUUAGAUACCUCUGGUAGUCCACGCCCUAAACGAUGUCAACUUAUUGUUGGGGCCUCGGCCCUGGUAGCGCAGCUAACGCGUGAAGUUGGACUGCCUGGGAGUACGGUCGCAAGAUUAAAACUCAAAGGAAUUGACGGGGACCCACAAGCGGUGGAUGAUGUGAUUAAUUCGAUGCAACGCGAAAACUCACCUACCCUUACACUACCGAAUCCCGGAAGAGAUUUGGGGGAGGUUUCGCAAGAGAACCGAACACAGGUGCUGUGGCCCGGCUGUCGUCCGGGGCCGUGAGAUGUUCGGCUAAGUCCCGCAACGAGCCAACCCUUGUCAUUAGUUGCUACGAAAGGGCACUUAAUGAGACUGCCGGUGACAAACCGGGAGGAAGGUGGGGAUGACGUCAAGUCCUCAUGGCCCUUAUGGGUAGGGCUUCACACGUCAUACAAUGGUCGGGACAGAGGGUCGUUAACCUGCGAGGGCUGAGCUAAUCCCAGAAACCUGAUCGUAGUCCGAUCGCAGUCUGCAACUCGAUCGCGUGAAGUCGGAAUCGCUAGUAAUCGCGGAUCAGCAUGUCGCGGUGAGAAUACGUUCCCGGGUCUUGUACACCGUCCUGUCACAUCACAUGAGUGGGUUUUACCAGAAGUAGUUAGCCUAACCGUAAGGAGGGCGAUUACCACGGUAGAUUCAUGACUGGGGUGAAGUCGUAACAAGGUAG